GAUGAACGCUGGCGGCGUGCCUAAUACAUGCAAGUCGAGCGGCAGCGAGUUCCGAUUUAUCGGAAUGUCGGCGAGCGGCGGACGGCUGAGUAACGCGUAGGAACGUACCCCAAGUGAGGGAUAAGCACCAGAAAUGGUGUCUAAUACCGCAUGUGGUCUAAGGAUUAAAGCUUCGGUGCUUUGGGAACGGCCUGCGUCUGAUUAGCUUGUUGGUGAGGUAAAAGCNCACCAAGGCGAUGAUCAGUAGCUGGUCUGAGAGGAUGAUCAGCCAGAC
Molecule: ribosomal RNA, 274 nt
Filed under: uncultured bacterium
Lineage: Bacteria
Description: partial 16S ribosomal RNA
Rfam family: Bacterial small subunit ribosomal RNA
Source: RNAcentral